GCGGGUGUGGCGAAAUUGGCAUACGCAUAAGAUUUAGGAUCUUACGCCGUGAGGCGUGCAGGUUCGACCCCUGUCACCCGCACCA
RNAcentral lists this transfer RNA (85 nucleotides) under Oscillospiraceae bacterium. Its description in RNAcentral is "tRNA-Leu". It matches the Rfam family "tRNA". Rfam says of the family: Transfer RNA (tRNA) molecules are approximately 80 nucleotides in length. Their secondary structure includes four short double-helical elements and three loops (D, anti-codon, and T loops). The record is from RNAcentral. Lineage: Bacteria; Bacillati; Bacillota; Clostridia; Eubacteriales; Oscillospiraceae.